Molecule: non-coding RNA, 1764 nt
Organism: Manis javanica (Malayan pangolin)
Lineage: Eukaryota; Metazoa; Chordata; Mammalia; Pholidota; Manidae
Source: RefSeq, a predicted model, not a curated record
GCUUGGACUGCGCGUGCGCGGAAGCCGCCCCGUCCGCCCGCCCCUACGCCGCGGCGGAAGGGUAGGAUGUGUGCUUUCUGCUGCAGUGCGCUGGAAGCUCGGCUACCAUAUCGAAGCACCAUGGACUGGGUGGCCGAAACAACAGAAAUGUGUUUUCCCACAGUGCUAGAGACUAGAUGUCCCAGAUCGAGGUGUUGGCAGGAAGAUCCUAUCAUCUGAAAAACGCAGACCAACACUGGCUCAGGAAGGCUUUGAAGGUCAGAGGCAAACUAACAGCCUUUCAUGAUGCAGCCCCGUUGGGCCUCAACUUGACCGAUGAUCUGUCAAACCCAGCAGAGCACCGUGCGAGGCUGGCUCACAUCCCACUGGACGUAUGACCGAGGGAUGCGCUGGAGAAGACACUUUCUGGAAGCAGGAGAUGCUGCAUACAGGACCAGCAAUCAGGACCAGAGGGGGCCCGUGGUUGUAAAAAUGAACACUGAGAUUUUGAGGGGGAAAAAAGUGCAAGAGGGGGACGAGUGCAAGAGAAAAGACCACAAGUGGUGGGGUGUGGAAGAAAAGUGUUUGAAAAGAGAGCACGGAAGGGCAUGAUCAUGUCAGAGAGCUGGGGCAGUAGAAAUAAGCAAGAGCAGUGCCCUGGGAGAAAGGGCUCCCUCUGCCUGUCAUCCUAUGCCACCUACCCUGUGGUCACCUUGUCACUUCCCACCAAACAUGCUGUCUUCUCAUGCUCUAUUACUGUAUUUUCCAUAAAGUCACCUUUAUGGAAUUGUGCCCACAAGGGAUGCUUCACUUCCGUGGUGGGUCUCAGGGUGCUCAUUUCUUCGGCUUCCCCUUGGUGGCCCUGAAGGAUCUGAUUGUGGAGUGCUAGCGUAAUAGGAGAGAGAUGGGGAGCACAGGUUCUCUGUAUUCCUCCUUAGCUGCAGCUGCUGCUAAUACAGCCACAGAGGAACAGAUGGUAAAUUCCAUCAUCACUGGAUUGAGGAUUCAUGUGCGUCCUUGUACUGUCACAGGAAUGAAAACAGACUCUGACGCUUUGACUUCGUAGCAAAGCUCAUUUGUUUAAUAUCCUGGACACAGAGCAUAGCCCUAUGGCAAGAAGGGAACAAGUAAGCAGGGGAAAUUAAGCUCCACUUUCCUUUCCCAAAUAAUGAUUCUAUCAGACACUCACAUGGUGGCACACUGUUGCGUUUGGGAUUAUGGCUUUAUAACAACAGCAGUUAAUAGGUAUUUAGCCCUUCCUAAUCCAGGUCCUACUGUAAGCACUUCAUGUUAUUAACCCAAGUAGUCUUCACAACAGCUCUGUGAGGUUGGACCUUUUACAGGUAAGAUUUGAGGCUGAGUAACUGGUCUAGACUCACCCAGUGAUAACCAUCAUUGUUAACAAUGAUAACGAUCAUCAUUGCUAUUUCUCUGGGGACAGGCAUGCUUUAAAAAAGGACAAGUCUGCACAGCUGAGAGCACAAUUCCAUGUUUUAUGUGCAGUUGAUGAAAAAAACGUUCUGAGCUUCUCGACGACAGUACCAUACAUAAGGUGAGAAUUCUUCCCUAGUCAGUCAAGCAUCCUUCUGUUCACAUCCUCAACUGAGUCAAGUCUCUGCGCCUGAGUUGAAUCAACUCUAAGACUUACAAAUACACAUCCUGGAUUUUCAGAGGCAGGACUAAUUUAAAUCAGCCUUAACUUUCUCCACAAGUACAGCAGCUUUUUAAAAAUGUGAUGGUGGCUUUUUAAAAAUCCUGAUGGUGGGCCAGAAAAUACUGCCAUUC